UCCAUUACAACAGGUUUUCCUCCUUUCUCUUCCACUGGAACAGUUCUCUUUGCAUGACAACAACUUUCUAAUAAGACUGAGAAAGUACCAAACUUCAGAUGUAGUAACUUUCUAUGACAGAAGUGAGUGAUAUCAUCAGCCUAAUGUGGCUGAGGCAUGUCUUUUCCUAGUAGAAUGUGCAUUACCUGAGGGAAAAAAGAAAAGAAAACUAAAUAUUGUGAGACUGACAAGGGACUGUUUUAAUGACUCACAAUUGUCUUCACAUGAUGCCUGCUUUAUCUGGUCUUCAUUUAGAGAACAAAUUCAUGGGAAACUAAAAUCUGGGUUUGACUGAACAUAAGAUUAUUAACUCACAGAGGGCAACGGCUCUGUCCUUUAAUUACUUUUCAUGGUAAGUAGUAUAAUAUGAUGGUGACAUGUUGAUUACUAAC
RNAcentral lists this long non-coding RNA (431 nucleotides) under Phascolarctos cinereus (koala). Its description in RNAcentral is "lncRNA (ENSPCIG00000032669.1)". The record is from RNAcentral. Lineage: Eukaryota; Metazoa; Chordata; Mammalia; Diprotodontia; Phascolarctidae.